AACAAUACCUUGCUAGGUAUUUAUUUAUUAAGCACUACCAGGAUUCAGUUUUGCACCUUUUUACUUGAAGCUGCUAAACUGUAUCCACCUUUAAGUGACACUCAGCCACCAUCACCACCUAAGGAAUCCUUUCCUGAUGACGACGACGACGACGACACUGUAGAUGAGCCACAACCUUCUUGUUCAGAAUAUACCUAAACCAUCAGAACGUUUGUGUCCAUCCAAUUAAGGUGGAGUUUGCGGCCAAAAUCCAAUUAAGAGGUGUGACGUUCCCAUACCUGUUUACCAGAAGUGGUCAGUAACUGGUUACCUACACUAACAAUAGCAGCUCUACGGAGAAACUUGAAAUUUGGUCUGCCAUGCGUAGGAAUCCUACAGCUGAAUAAUUGCUUAGAGCCAUUAACAUGUUAACCCCACCAAAAAGGGGAUGGUCCAAGAUCAGAGAGAGUCAGCUCAACUAAUCCUGAACCCGUUUGGGCGGAGACCUGAAAGAUACACCGCCUUAGGGGGUUGAACCAAGACGAUCAUGGGGAUAGCUGAUUGCAGAGCAGCAGAACCGAAGCAGAGAGGACCAACUGCUAUCAUACAAGAAAGAAGAAUACCUUUCCAGAGCAUUAUAGAAAGAAGAAUACCUUUCCAGAGCAUUAUAGGGUCCUAACCAUAUUACUUAGAUUUUUUAAUCUUAAGUUGUAACUUGUGUAAACUGUUAACUAGUAUUUCUUUGCAUUAGUAAAGAAAGAAAACUGUCGUUCGUCUCACUCACACUCCUGAGAGACUUGAUACUACGAAUCCAGACUACCAGUUGAGAAGAAUAUUAAGGUAGAGAAGAAACAUAGAACCAGAACGAAUCAUCUAAGAAAUAGAAGCAGGUAAGAGAACACAAUCACCACAGUUAUUUAAAUAUGAUCCCUUUCAUGCACUGGUAUAAUUCGUAACCUGUGUGAUUUGAUCUGAUCUUUUUUUUUAUUGCAUAGCUCAAAGCACGGUGUGAUAAGUUUAGCAGUGCCAUCAAUGACAGCGCGCUUAACAUGCUCCUCAGGCUGGUCAACGUCACUACCUCUGCAGCAUUACAACAGUAGACCUAAUAAGCUACAGGAAUAACAUUUUCAAAAUAGGAAUAUGAAUUACAACAAGAUUUCUUUAAAUGUUGAACUUUUAGGCUGUGUUCUAUGCCUACAAAAUAAUCUAA
Molecule: long non-coding RNA, 1189 nt
Organism: Macrobrachium nipponense
Lineage: Eukaryota; Metazoa; Arthropoda; Malacostraca; Decapoda; Palaemonidae
Exons: 3
Source: RefSeq, a predicted model, not a curated record